AUCCAGUUGACCAGUCCCAAAUAGGAAGAAACGAGCGUUCUGGAU
This 45-nucleotide non-coding RNA is filed under the name Schistosoma curassoni. Lineage: Eukaryota; Metazoa; Platyhelminthes; Trematoda; Strigeidida; Schistosomatidae. The record is from RNAcentral.